RNAcentral lists this ribosomal RNA (2871 nucleotides) under Acinetobacter baumannii. Its description in RNAcentral is "23S ribosomal RNA". It matches the Rfam family "Bacterial large subunit ribosomal RNA". Lineage: Bacteria; Pseudomonadati; Pseudomonadota; Gammaproteobacteria; Moraxellales; Moraxellaceae. The record is from RNAcentral.
GUUGUAUAGUCAAGUAAUUAAGUGCAUGUGGUGGAUGCCUUGGCAGUCAGAGGCGAUGAAAGACGUGAUAGCCUGCGAAAAGCUCCGGGGAGGCGGCAAAUAUCCUUUGAUCCGGAGAUGUCUGAAUGGGGGAACCCACCUACUUUAAGGUAGGUAUUGCAACAUGAAUACAUAGUGUUGCAAGGCGAACGAGGGGAAGUGAAACAUCUCAGUACCCUUAGGAAAAGAAAUCAAUUGAGAUUCCCUCAGUAGCGGCGAGCGAACGGGGAUCAGCCCAUUAAGUUAUGUGUGUUUUAGUGGAACGCUCUGGGAAGUGCGAACGUAGAGGGUGAUAUUCCCGUACACGAAAGGGCACACAUAAUGAUGACAAUUAGGGCGAGGCACGUGAAACCUUGUGUCUGGAAUAUGGGGACCAUCCUCCAGGCUAAAUACUCUGACUGACCGAUAGUGAACCAGUACCGUGAGGAAAGGCGAAGAACCCCUGAGAGGGUGAAAUAGAUCCUGAAACCGCAUGCAUACAAGCAGUGGGAGCACAUUCGUGAUGACUGCGUGUACCUUUUGUAUAAUGGGUCAGCGACUUAUAUUCAGUAGCGGGUUAACCGUAUGGGGGCCGUAGAAAUCGAGUCUUAAUAGGGCGUUUAGUUGCUGGGUAUAGACCCAGAGAACCAGGCGAUCCAUGGCAGGCAGGUUGAAGGUUGGGUAACACUAACUGGAGGACCGAACCCACUGUCGUUGAAAAGCCAGGGGAUGACUUGUGGAUAGGGGUGAAAGGCUAAUCAAGCCUGGUGAUAGCUGGUUCUCCCCGAAAGCUAUUUAGGUAGCGCCUCGGACGAAUACCAUAGGGGGUAGAGCACUGUUUCGGCUAGGGGGUCAUCCCGACUUACCAAACCGAUGCAAACUCCGAUACCUGUAGAGUACUAUCCGGGAGACAGACUGCGGGGUGCUAGCGUCCGUAGUCAAGAGGAAAACAAUCGAACCGCCAGCUGGGCCCCAAAAAAUCAUAGUUAAGUGAACGUGUGGGAAGGCAUAGACAGCUGGUGGCAGAAGCAACCACCCUUUAAAAGCGUAAUAGCUCACCCCUGGUCGAGUCGGCCUGCGGAAAUAUGGCAGGGCUAAAACUAUGGCGAAGCUGCGGAUGUAUGCUGUAUGCGUGGUAGGGGAAUUCUGUAAGCCGAUGAAGGUGUGUUGAGAAGCAUGCUGGAGGUAUCAGAAGUGCGAAUGCUGACGUGAGUAACGACAAAACGGGUGAAAAACCCGUUCGCCGAAAGACCAAGGGUUCCAGUCCAACGUUAAUCGGGGCUGGGUGAGUCGACCCCUAAGGCGAGGCCGAAAGGCGUAGUCGAUGGGAAAAUGGUUAUUCCAUUACUUCUGUGUAAUGCGAUGAGGAGGACGGAGAAGAGCUAAAUCAGCCUGGCGUUGGUUGUCCAGGUGAAAGGAUGUGAGCAUGCUUAGGCAAAUCCGGGGUACUCUAUGCACUGAGAUCUGAUAGCAAGCUGUACUUGUACAGCGAAAGUGGAUUGAUGCCAUGCUUCCAGGAAAGAAUCUCUAGCUUCAGUUACACAGGAAUCGUGCCCGAAACCGACACAGGUGGUCAGGUCAGAGUAAGACCAAGGCGCUUGAGAGAACUCUGCUGGAAGGAACUAGGCAAAUGGUGCCAUAACUUCGGGAGAAGGCGCUGUUGUUGAAUGAUGGAACUCGCUUCCUGGGCGGCGACAGCCGCAGAAACCAGGCCGCUGCAACUGUUUAUUAAAACCGUAACCUCACCUGAAACACGAAAGUGGACGUAUUAUAGGUGUGACCCUGCGUGAGGUUAGUGAUGGGGUAGCGUAAGCGAAGCUGUGAUCGAGCCCCAGUAAACGGCGGCCGUAACUAUAACGGUCUAAAGGUAGCGAAAUUCCUUGUCGGUAAGUUCCGACCUGCACGAAUGGCAUAAUGAUGGCGGCGCUGUCUCCAACAGAGCUCAGUGAAAUCGAAAUCGCUGUGAAGAUGCAGUGUACCGCGGCUGAACGGAAAAGACCGUGAACCUUUACUGCAGCUUGACACUGAACUUUGACCUUACUUGUGUGUAGGAUAGGUGGGAGGGCUUUGGGGAGAGCUGGAGUGGAUUUCCAGUGGAGCCGUCAUGAAAUACCACCCUGUUGAGUUCUAACUCUGUCCGUGAUCCGGGACCGGGACAUCAAUCAUAGUGGGUAGUUUGACUGGGGCGGUCUCCUCCUGGGUAACGGAGGAGUACGAAGGUGCGCUCAGCGUGGUCGGAAAUCACGCGUAGAGUAUAAAGGCAAAAGCGCGCUUAACUGCGAGACCCACAAGUCGAGCAGGUACGAAAGUAGUCUUAGUGAUCCGGUGGUUCUGUAUGGAAGGGGCCAUCGCUCAGCUUGGAUAAAAGGUACUCUGGGGAUAACAGGCUGAUACGCGAGGUUCUAUCGACGGCAUUGGUGCUUUCGAUAUCAGCUCAUCUCGUCCUGAGGCUGAAGCAGGUCCAAGGGUAUGGCUGUUCGCCAUUUAAAGAGGUACAUGAGCUGGGUUUAGAACGUCAUUGAGACAGUUCGGUCCCUAAUAUCUACCGUGGUAUGAAAUUUGAGAGGAUCUGCUCUAGUACGAAGAGGACCAGUGGACAAACCUCUGUGGUGUACCGGUUGUGACCGCCAGUCGCAUCGCGGGUAGCUAUGUUCGGAAAGGGGAUAACCACGCUGAAAGCAUCUAAGCGGGAAGCCUACCUCCAAGAUAAAGAUUUCCCUAGGACUUUAUGUCCUCUAAAGAAUAGUUCAGAUUCUAGGACGUUGAUAGGUUGGAUGUGGAAGCAUAGUGAUAUGUGAAGCUGACCAAUACUAAUUGCUCGUGAGGCUUGACUAUACAACACCCAAGCAGUUG